RNAcentral lists this long non-coding RNA (199 nucleotides) under Manihot esculenta (cassava). RNAcentral's name for it is "long non-coding RNA (MESC_LNC009722)". Lineage: Eukaryota; Viridiplantae; Streptophyta; Magnoliopsida; Malpighiales; Euphorbiaceae. The record is from RNAcentral.
AACAAGGCCACAAGGCAAGUAUGCAUUAGCCAUAAUUUGGGUGUCAGUCCCACUAAACAAGACUACAAGGCUAGUUUCGCCAGGUGUCGUCAGGCCACAAUUCAGGCGUUGGUCCCACCAAUCAAAGGCAUCUUAUGCUAGGCUACAAGGUAGGUUCUGCCAAGCCACAAGACCGAGCGUUGGUACCACUAAUCAAGGC